Long non-coding RNA from Trifolium pratense (red clover), 1097 nucleotides. RefSeq lists it as uncharacterized. NCBI's taxonomy places the organism in Eukaryota, Viridiplantae, Streptophyta, Magnoliopsida, Fabales, Fabaceae. The record is from RefSeq and is a predicted model, not a curated record. The transcript is spliced from 3 exons.
AUAACCUUACAUCUAUGAAAUUGUUUUCACACUAUAAAGCUAACAAAUGAUUCCUAUUUCUAGAUUCAUAAAGGAAAAAAUAUGGUUAAAGUUUAUAUGUUUAUUUUUGCAACGAUUAUCUUUUUUUCCAUAUUUAUUUCUAUAACAAGUGCUGCGUGCCAAAAUAAUGCGGAUUGUCAAGAUUAUGAGUGUAUCGAAGCUGACGAUAGUCCAGUCUGCGGGUUUUGGGUUUCAGAGCCCGAAUUUAUAAGGCCCAAAUUUGGGAUUUGUGCAUGUCUCGGGAUGCUCACAAAGAAGCCAUAAAAGUUAAUUAUAAAAAAAUAAAAUUAUGUUGCUGCUCGUAUGAUUUGUUUCACACUUAUAUUUAUUUUAGUAAAUGAUAAUCCCCUCUGUUGAAGGAAGUUUGAAUAAUAUUUUUCUCUUUUGUUAUGUUAAAAUAAACACUUUUGUCCACUUUAAUAAAAUUAUUUCAAGUUACCAUUUAAGAAAUUAAUAUUCUUUGUUUAUAAUUUUUUUCUCAUUACUUUUAUGAUUUUAGAAUAUAAAAUGUAAUUUGAAGUAUUUUUUUAAAUUUGGCUUUAAUAAUUUAUUCAAAUAUUUUAUGUUGUAAAAAUUCAUAAUUUAUGACAUCGAUAGUUUAAAAUUAUAUAUUAAUGACGUGAAUAAAAAAUAUGAAAAUAGGGAGGCUCAACUAGAGUUUCGCCUUAGCAGAGCUUCGUUAUUCUUCAUAUAUAACAAUCGUCACAAUCUUUUCGCUGAUCAUGAUGAAACUGUGCCAUUCAACAUGGCAAUUCAAGGGUAAUGGGACGUGAUUUGCUUUAGUGGCACAAAUUGUAAUUUUGAAGGAUAUAUAAAUAACAGCUUUUCAUUAACCUAGAAGAUAUCACCUCUUGGAGAGAAAAUAUGCAUCACGUUCCAGCAUCACAGAGAAGAUGAGAUUUCAAGGCCCAUGGUGAUUUUUAUCGAUUAUUCAUGUAUAAUUUUUUUAACUUUUUUGUUAUGCCAAUUAUCGUUAUUAUGCUUAUCAGAUUAGAGAUUUUAGAUGAUUUUCUGUAUUUGAAGUUUGCACCAUGUUCGUAUUUAUGCAAUCAAAACUA